Molecule: small nucleolar RNA, 102 nt
Filed under: Cavia porcellus (domestic guinea pig)
Lineage: Eukaryota; Metazoa; Chordata; Mammalia; Rodentia; Caviidae
Description: Small nucleolar RNA U13
Rfam family: Small nucleolar RNA U13
Source: Rfam by way of RNAcentral
AUCCUCAGGUUCAUAAGUGUGAUGAUUGGGUGUUCAGGCUCCAUGCAUGACAUGUGCCUCCUUUGAACCUUAUUAUGACAUCGGCACAUUACCCAUCUGACA